AAACAACAAAGAAUCACCCAAGUUUAGGUGUUCACGGCCCAAGAUGAUCUUGGACCGUGAACUCCAAAAUCAUGGACCAAAGAGUGCUUUUGGCACUCCUAAAGUCUUGGACAAUUACCAAGGGUUACUCCUACAUAAAUCAAGGACAUUAAACCAUCAAAAACACCUUCCAAAGUGAGUUUACGGCCAUGACAUUAAAGGGCACCAAAGUGUGUCAAAGGCCUUCAUAUGCUUGGGAUAAAAGUCUAAGAUCUAUACCACAUGUACAAGAGACUUGAAAGCAUCAAAAACACCUUUCCUUAAUAGUUUACGACCGCAAACUCUAAGGGAAAUGGCCUUAGGGCCGUAAACUCCUCAAAGGAGUGUUUCUAUGCCUUAAACCCUUCCAAGAACUUAACCACCAAGUUGGAAUAAUUCUAGGGAUUAUUUAACACCUUAAAACAACCAAAGACAUUGUGUCUUGGAGUUUACGGCCGUAAACUCAAGAGUUUACAACCGUAAAGUCCAUGUGUGAGAAUAUAUGGAGAGUAAACUCAUAUAUGGGGUCCUUUGGAACCCUAAACCCAAGUGCAUUGUCCCACAAUAGCUAGAUGCAAUCCUUAGGGCUUAUAACACUUAUAUAAAGUGUUUAUUUUGUUCUAGAAAGUCUUGACAUUAUCAAUUAGUAAUUUAAGACUAAUUGAGUGCAUAUAUGUGUGAUUAUAUGUUCAUUAGGAUCGUAGUGUGUGUGCAAGUCCUGGUAACCACGGAUAACACUUACAUGGUUAUAUUUUUCCUAUUUACUUUAUUUUGUGAUAUAUUCACAUAAACGAUGAGUUAGAAUAAUUACUGUUUGUAGUAGUCAAAAUGAAGGAAAAACUAUCAUUUUACUAACAAAACAUUCGGGUCUUGGUAGAAGACUACAUUAUCAUAACAAAACAUUUGGGUCUUGGUAGAAGACUACAUUAUCAUAACAAAACAUUCAGGUCUUGGUAGAAGACUAUAUUGUCAUAACAAAACAUUCGGGUCUUGGUAGAAGACUACAUUAUCAUAAUAAAACAUUCGGGUCUUGGUAGAAGACUACAUUGUCAUAACAAAACAUUCAGGUCUUGGUAGAAGACUACUUUAUCAUAACAAAACAUUCGGGUCUUGGUAAAAGACUACAUUAUCAUAAUAAAACAUUCGGGACUUGGUAGAAGACUAUCAUAUACUAUUUCCUAUUUAUUUUAUUUUGUGAUACUUUCAUAUAAACGAUGAGUUAGACUAUGUACUUUAGUACUAGUCAAUAGAAGGAAAAACUAUCAUUUUACUUACAAAACAUUCGGGUCUUGGUAGAAGACUACAUCUCAAACUAAUAGAAAAUAAGGGAUUUUCUAGGGCUUUUCAUACUUAUAUCAACAUUUACAUUUAAAGGUUUACAUGACUUUUAAAACAACUUUUCAAAGCAAGUCAAUGACACUUAAAUACUUAUGAAUUCACUAGCUUUAAAGCUGAUACUCGCUUUCAGAAUAACUUGUAUUCUUAGGUCAUCAGUUAGACAGGUGCGAUGGCCAGGUUUUUGAGAAGAUGGAGCACAGACAAGGCUCGCCUUAUUUUGAAUAUUCAUUUUAUUGUUGCACAUUAUGAAAGAACACACAUGUAUUAAAACUUUACUUUUAACGCAAUGGAUGAUGUUGUUUCUUGUUUACUACUUUACACUGUUAUGAUACUUCACAUGACGUCCUCCACCCCGGAACGUUUCCGCCGUUCUUGGUUUUGGGGUGUGACAGAUUGGUAUCAGAGCAUUGUUUAUAGUGAAUUAAGUAUAUCAAACCAUAAAAGAUAUACUAACUAUAAACACAUAGGGAUUAAAACACUCUGUCUAAGAGUUUAUACUUUUAAAUAAUAAAACAUUUAACAAAGUAUACGUGCCUGCAUUCAUACUAAAAUCCGUGUCACAAUGACAAGAACAAAAGUAUUGAGAUUGUUGAAUAUCACAGGUAAGCUCGGGGAUGUAUGGUCAGUCUUGGGAGUGGCAUAGCCUGAUCAACUAUGUUGUUCCAAGGAGUGAUUAGCACAUGCCCAAGAAUGAUUGUGAUAUGACAACAAGUCUAAAAACUUACCAACAUUACCACAAUGAGAACAUUAUAACAGAACCUAAGUCUAAAAUACCAUAGGGGUGUUUUGUGUUACUAUAAGUACUUUAUACUUGAGAACUAAAAUGGAAUCUUCAUUCCUAAGUUGAUAAUUGCUAAGUGGAUACGCUAAAGUUAUAUGUAACUAGGAUGUUAUAGACUUAGAAUAGGUGAAAUUUUUGCUUUACCCCUAUUCCUUGUGAAUUUGGAGUUGAGGUCACUAUUUGAAGGUCUAUCCUGUGUUGAUUACAUAUAACUGGUAUGCACUUUACAAAUAGCGAUGGAACUAAUGAAGAUUUCCUAAAUAAUUAUCUAGAUAGUUCGUCUAAUAAUUAUUUUCUUACCCCAAAUUCUCGCGUAGAUAACAUGGCUGGAUUCCAUCCCCACGACAACCUGUUCCUUCCGAACGCGGUUAUUGCUGGAUGGUUUGGAGAAGAACCAGAUAAUGAUCAUCCAAUCCCUCUGAAUGAUCACCAUGCUGAAGACCUUUCAGACGAUGCCAUCUCCGAACCCGAGGUUGAGAACCUACCCCAGGCAGCUCCCUUUCCAAUUCCUAACCCUCGUCCGGCUUUUCAUGGCCCGACGCCUGAGUGGGUGGAAUGUUUGGAAACAUGGAGCCAAGGACAAGAUCAGCCCAUGCCAUUUAAUGGUGACUGAAGCUUCUAUGACCUGAGCAAUGGGGGCUCAGCAGACAUAAUCAUGCCAAUUCUGAUCCGAAGAGUUGCCCGAAACGAAAUUCAGGGCAUGACAGCUCUACAACGUAUCGCAGAAGUAGAUACAAAUGGAGGAAUGCAUAUGCUUCGCACCAGUCGCCUUGAACAUGCUCGUGAGAGGUCUGAGAGAGACCAUGAAACCUUGCUGCAAGCACUAGCUGAAUCACGAGCCGAAGUCAUAGAACUUCGAGUACGCCAGAGGGUGUACGAAAGACACCUACUUGAUGUGGAACGCCAACUGGCUGAACUGAGAGUUCACCAGAGGGAUGACCGUCACUAGUAGUAGAUACUUUACUUUAUUUUCCUGGUUAGAAAGGAAUCGUCUUUCUGUCUAUGCCCGAUGUGGCAUUUUCUAUGAAACUAUCUUGUACUGUAAGUACGUUAGUUAGGUCCUUAUGCUGUUAAGAACUAUCUUCUCUGGAUAUGACGUAAGACCUUUUACAAGGUCAUUUUCCCGAACCUGUACGUCAUGAAUAUCAAAGAUAUUGACAGUCGGCUAACUUCUGAGUCAUUCUUUAUUCAAAUACUCUUAUCAUACUUUCAUUAGAGUCUAUUUGAAACAUGCUCUAGUCAAGUCAUUGGAUUAUAGCCAUUUAACUCCGGAGACAUCUCCAAGUGUCUGGUAAUGGUUGGAUCAUGUUAUUCACCAAACAACAAUACCUCGGCUCGAACGACAAACAUCUUGAGACAUUGUACAAACUUACUUCCGAUCCUUGCUAGGACUGCAUCAUAGGGAUGUAGGUCGAACUUUAGAGAACAUACUUCUAUUCUUCAUGAGCGAUNCGUCUAGGUUCAACCAUUCUCGCUCACAAAUUCAUUUUCUUUCGGUGUAACAGAAUCAUGUCACCCAAGAAAAACGAUCAGCCCAUCAACCAAAUACCAACUCUUCAGAUUGAUGCAGCUACCUUUCAAGCUGCAGUCUCGGCUGCCGUGUCAGCUAUUCUGACCCAUCUGAAUGCUAACAACGCAAGUGUUAGCGGGAUUGUUAGCAACCAUUCCAAUCUAAGUAGCAAUCAACAACCGCAACGAGCAACAAACUACCACGAUACCCCGAGUGCCGAGACCAAGAGUAACAGCCGGAAGUUUUGGGCCAAAAGGAAGAACAAAUCGCUUCGAAGGGCGAAAAAGAAACAACCACCGAUAACGACCUUCAUAGCUAUGACAUCUGCAACUCCUACUACCAUUCCUUCUAGUGUCCCAAUUUUCCCUACACCAGCUAGACAAUAUUCCGGAAACCUACCGAAAUGCUAUGAGUGUAGCUUUUAUCAUCUGGGUAGUUGUCGACCGUUACACUGUUAUAAGUGCAAUAGGAAUGGACAUACUGCCAGUUACUGUAGGAUCCAGAUCCAACACAUUUCUUCAACCACCAAUGUCCAAACCUCUCAGAUAUGCCAUCUAUGUGGCAUCAUGGGACACUUCAAGAGGGACUGUCCAGCAGGGAAGGGCAACGAUGAAUCCGGAGGAGUUUGACCUCAGAAUGGGUAGAGGCAGUUAAGGACCCUAAUUUAGUAUAGGUUCCCUCCAAAUCGUCAGUAUUUUGUAUGUUCAAAAACAUGUUUAAAACUAGUGCAACGAGAGUCUUAUCUUUUGCGAGAUUCUGUCCGUUAAGGGACUCUUGUGCUGCGUAUACUUGUCUUUUGUAGUAUAAUUUGUUCGUAGCAGUAUUCCUAUAGUUACUCUAAAAAGUCUUGUAACUCUAUUAAUGGUUGCACUGUGGUGUUUUGUCUGUAACACCUUAUGAUCAAAAUCUAAUGUCUUUAGUUUCCAUAUGUUUCCGACUUUAUCAUACGACUCAAGUAAAUUUGAUCCUCGCAAUACCAGCUUCAUAAGUACAUCUCUUUCUCAGAAAUCGUCUUUUAGCGAAGCCGUGAUAUCAGAACACCGAAGUACUCAUACAAGGAGUACCUUAUAGUUCUUUUCCUUUCCGAAGGAAUCCCCACAGUAUUACUCGUGCAGUACGUCAAGUUCAAUUCCAGGAUUCAUACGGUUGAUCUAUCACUGAAGAAUGUAUACAUGAGAGUGAUAUAUAAUCAAUGUUCUACAUGUUUAGAAUUGAUGAUUCCACUUUAACUUCUUUUCCCUCGAUGGGAUGUGAGAUUAAGGAAGAAUCAGUUAUUCGACUACCUUUUCAAUCUUAAUUAUAUACGACUCGUAUACACGAAAUUGUGAUCAUUGAAUCAUGUAUGAAUUCUAAUAUGAACUUCAGGAUGGAGACUGUCCAGGAGUACGAGUAAUUGCAUUGGCAUAGGAACAAACUUAGAACCCGGUAUGACUCUUAUAACCAGAUCGCCUUCAGUCUAAACACCUACGGAAGAUACAAGAACAGCCCGGACAACACAACGAACUACUCAACAAUAGAAUUAGAAGACCAGGCUUCUCACCCUUGAGAGCUCCGGUCUUAUAAUUACCAGAAGUCGACGAAGUGCAUCUUAUGUACCUCGACGACCGAAGACUUCAUUAAGAUUUCCUUUAGAAAUUGUUGUCUCUGCCUCGCAUAGACGAACUGACUGAGCAACCACAUGGAAAGUAUUACUUUCAGAAAUGGACAUGAGAUCCGAUUAUCACCAGUUCGAAUGAUAGGGAAGAAUGUCCUGAAGACUAGCUUCCGAACUCGAUGCAGACACUGCGAGUCCGAAGUGAUACCCCUCAGAUUGGACCCAUACGCCUAUAGUAUUCAUAAGCUAAAUGAGUGGACUUACUGGGAUCAGUUCGUCAUCUCUCCAUGUAAUGACUUACUUAUCUACCCUCAUAGUAAGAAAGAACUCAUAGAAACAUUACCCUCGGAGAUACUUUUCGCAAUGUUCUCUGAACAAGAGUUUUGGAUUUAAGAGUCAAAUUUCCUGAGACACACUAUUAGUGAUGUGGAAAUUCUUGAGUACUCUGUCAAAUUUUCCAAAAACGUUGGGGAUUUGUCGGCACCGUAGUCACCGACGGGAAAAUUCGCCAAAUACUAGGUCUUACAGACCUACUAUCAUAGUCCAACCAGAACCCCUCACAAAUUUCAGAAACCAUUUCGACUUUAACCCAACAAGGGGCGGCCCUUGACUGGGAAGUUAAGCAAUAGAAAGAACCUUUGGAAUUCCAAGUGAGAGACCAAAUUCUUUAGGAAACCUCACUCUGGGAACGGCUUAAUACGCUUCGUAAAACGUGGGAAGCUAAAUCCAAUGUAGUUGGGACCUUCGAGAUUCUUACCAAGAAUCGGUCCUGUAUCUCACCGACUGGACCCACUCCGUGAACUCAGUAUAUACAUUCUACUAUUCGCGUCUCGAUCGUGAAACCAUAAUUUUCCAUUAGGACUCUUGUAAGUCCACUCGUCGAGAUCCUCGCCUUCGUAUUAGAACCGUAGUGACCCUCGACCGAGAGGUCAAGCGGACAAAGCAACGCCGUCGCCCGUUAGUGAAGGUUCGUUUGGAUACUAACCGAGAACCCGAUUUCACUUAGGAGUGCGAGAACCAAUCGAUUAGGAAGUUCACAUAACGACUCGAUCAUUCGUACAUACUUCCUUUCCUGAAUUCUAAUUUCGGGACGAAAUUCCCUUUAAUAGGGGGAUGAUGUGACAACCCGAAAUUUCCAUUCUGAACAAACAAUAUCACUUCAAUAGAAGUUAUAUCAGUCACAGUUGAUUUUCAGACUUUUUAGUAUAAGUUUGAGUUCUUCAGGGUUUACACUUCAGGAAAUAUCAGGAGAGUGGAUGCACUAGGGUUUUAUGCAACACUGUUAUUCCAACACUCUGUUAUAUUAGAAAUCAUUUCAGGAAUAAAAAUGUUUUCUACCAAAAAUAUCUCAGGACUAUAAAUAGAAUUUUGAACCAAAUUCAUUCAUUAUUCGCAUUUCCAACUAGAGAAAAGCCAUUUUCUCUCUCACAGAUCUUUGGGUUUUUAUCCCAAAUCAUGAGUACCUCUCUCUAGUAGUGUUAUAUAGCUUAAAAUGUGUUCAUAACGUAGAUUACAUAGCUAAAUCACUAGAUUUAGGAGUUUACUCCCCACCGUGUUCUUGGGCGGUAAACUCCCGAAACAAAGCCUAGACUUUCCCCCGUGAUAUGCUACUACCUUGGACUUGUAUAGAAGUGUAUUAGGGACAAGAAAACAACAAAGAAUCACCCAAGUUUAGGUGUUCACGGCCCAAGAUGAUCUUGGACCGUGAACUCCAAAAUCAUGGACCAAAGAGUGCUUUUGGCACUCCUAAAGUCUUGGACAAUUACCAAGGGUUACUCCUACAUAAAUCAAGGACAUUAAACCAUCAAAAACACCUUCCAAAGUGAGUUUACGGCCAUGACAUGGUUCUUGGGCCGUAAAAAUGAUUAAAGGGCACCAAAGUGUGUCAAAGGCCUUCAUAUGCUUGGGAUAAAAGUCUAAGACCUAUACCACAUGUACAAGAGACUUGAAAGCAUCAAAAACACCUUUCCUUAAGAGUUUACGACCGCAAACUCUAAGAGAAAUGGCCUUAGGGACGUAAACUCCUCAAAGGAGUGUUUCUAUGCCUUAAACCCUUCCAAGAACUUAACCACCAAGUUGGAAU
This 7324-nucleotide long non-coding RNA is filed under the name Lactuca sativa (garden lettuce). Its description in RNAcentral is "long non-coding RNA (LSAT_LNC005414)". Lineage: Eukaryota; Viridiplantae; Streptophyta; Magnoliopsida; Asterales; Asteraceae. The record is from RNAcentral.